GUGCUCACUUCGGGAGCACAUAAGCUAACAUUGGAAUGAUACAGAGAAGAUUAGCAUGGCCCCUGCACAAGGAUGACACACAAAUUUGUGAGGUGUUCCAUAUUUUU
Molecule: small nuclear RNA, 107 nt
Organism: Choloepus didactylus (southern two-toed sloth)
Lineage: Eukaryota; Metazoa; Chordata; Mammalia; Pilosa; Megalonychidae
Source: RefSeq, a predicted model, not a curated record